AUUGAACGCUGGCGGCAUGCCUUACACAUGCAAGUCGAACGGUAACAGGUCUUCGGAUGCUGACGAGUGGCGAACGGGUGAGUAAUACAUCGGAACGUGCCCAGUCGUGGGGGAUAACGAAGCGAAAGCUUUGCUAAUACCGCAUACGAUCUACGGAUGAAAGCGGGGGAUCGCAGGACCUCGCGCGAUUGGAGCGGCCGAUGGCAGAUUAGGUAGUUGGUGGGGUAAAGGCUUACCAAGCCUAUGAUCUGUAGCUGGUCUGAGAGGACGACCAGCCACACUGGGACUGAGACACGGCCCAGACUCCUACGGGAGGCAGCAGUGGGGAAUUUUGGACAAUGGGCGCAAGCCUGAUCCAGCAAUGCCGCGUGCAGGAUGAAGGCCUUCGGGUUGUAAACUGCUUUUGUACGGAACGAAAAGCUCUGGGUUAAUACCCUGGGGUCAUGACGGUACCGUAAGAAUAAGCACCGGCUAACUACGUGCCAGCCGCCGCCGUAA
This 498-nucleotide ribosomal RNA is filed under the name uncultured bacterium. RNAcentral's name for it is "partial 16S ribosomal RNA". It matches the Rfam family "Bacterial small subunit ribosomal RNA", at positions 30 to 523 of the family's 1533-position model. The record is from RNAcentral.